GUAGCUGAGUUGGUUUAUUUAUUUAUUUAUGUAUUAGUUUCGCCAUAUUACAAUACACAAUACUAUAACAAGAAUAAUAUACAUGACUAUAUAGGCAGGGUGACCGCAACAGCGUGAGCCAAUUACUGGGGCCCGAAUCGCAGGUAGAGUUAUAUAGAUUCUGCCCCAGAAUCUGUUCAAUUCUGGUUAGAGUGCUGGUGGAAAAGCUACUAGAUUAAGGUUUGAGCCGGAUACUUAGGCUACAUAAUCUUAGGCAGGGCAGCUUGAUUGUGAUAUAAACAAAUAAACUUUGGAAUCUCAGUAAAACAAUCCACAUGGACUUUUAAAUUGUAACAACAAUCCAUGAUAAAUUUUAUAACAAUUUUAUGCACAAUUAUACAAUGUUUAGAAAAUUUUUUUACAAGAAUGCUAAAGCUAACAAAAAUUUAUAGCAAAGUGUUCUUCAAGCAUCUUUAUAUAGUGACAUGUCUCCAUUCUUCCCAAAUCCUACUGUUAACAAAUGAUGUAAAUGAACUUUGCCAUAAGUCAAAUUUUGCUAUUUUGCCAAUUUUAGCUAUAAUGUCUUAUGAAAUAUACAAAAAGGUUGAAAAUGAAAUUGAAUGAAUUGAAAAGUCAGCGUGUGAGAUUUUUGACUUAUGCAAAGCAUUUAUAUAUACAACAUUUGAUAGAAUUUUCACAAGUUGGCUAGCAAAUCAAAUAAUACUUUUUGUUUGUGGAAACACCACAUUAAUUUGUUACUGCAAAGCUUUCGAUCCGUAAGCUCGGAUCUUCAUCAGUGCUAAUAAUCGUAUUAUGAUCAUAUUAUUAGCACUGAUGAAGAUUCAGGCUUACGGACCGAAAGCUUUGCAGUAAUAAAUGUACGUGUUGUUUCCACAAACAAAAAGUAUUUUAUAGGCAUGCAAUCCUACAAAGAACUUAUGACUAGCAAAUUGUUAUGAAUGAAAAAGCAGACCACCAACUUCAAUCCUAGUAUUUCAUUGCUCCGCAAGCCGUUAAUCGGGCCAUGUCUCUAUUGCAAAGCCUCAUUGUAGAUGUCUAUUUUGUGAAAAUGUCACCAUAUUUCAUUGUCAGAGAUAUCCUCUGCUCCUAACCUCAUCAUCUCAUUUCUGCAUUAGAAAGUUCCUCCUCUUUUUUAAUGGUCGUCAAAUUUCUUGCCAACUCCUCUGCAGAAAUUGCAUCGGCAUACAGUGUUUCAUCAACAAAGCCCUCUCCCAGGAGUGCGGCCGUUUCAACGACGAUGUUCUCCUUGUCUUCUUUCUUAAUUAAAUCUUGCUCAAAGUCUUCAAGAUUGUUGUUAUUCAUCUUCUUUCCUAAAGUUGAAUUAUAAAAUUGGUUUCUAAAAGAUUCAAACUCAUUUCAGACGAGAGAUUUUCAGACGUUGGGAUCCAAUAUGGGUAGUGCUCUACAAUAAGAUGCUGUGGUUUGUCUCUCAACUAAAAGCCCUGGGGCUGAUUGUUUGAAGCUGGAUUAGCUUAACCCUAGCUUCCUGACAGCUUGUCUAUAAAUUUGGAAAGAUUUCUUAAGAGAUCUUGUCCGGAUUGAUCGGAGUUGAGUUCUCUGAAGUUUUGAAAUAAUCAGACGUGCAGAAAUACACAAACUAAAACAGCAGGUUAAAUUUGCCUAGCCUUGGGGUCCCAGUUUCCUUAUUAAAUCCAUCUUUGGAUUUAGAAAGGCAAAAACCAAACAGACAAAACAGUAACAUGAUUAUGAAUUGUUAAGCAAGACUACAGACUUGCCUCUCCUUCUAGUAUCACUGGUGGUCAGUGGUGACACCCUAAAC
This is a non-coding RNA of Paramuricea clavata, 1780 nucleotides long. The record is from the annotation of a GenBank genome assembly. Lineage: Eukaryota; Metazoa; Cnidaria; Anthozoa; Malacalcyonacea; Plexauridae.